UACGUAGGGGGCGAGCGUUGUCCGGAUUUAUUGGGCGUAAAGAGCGUGUAGGCGGCCAGGUAGGUCCGUUGUGAAAACUCGAGGCUCAACCUCGAGACGUCGAUGGAAACCAUCUGGCUAGAGUCCGGAAGAGGAGAGUGGAAUUCCUGGUGUAGCGGUGAAAUGCGCAGAUAUCGGGAGGAACACCAAUGGCGAAGGCAGCUCGCUGGGACGUGACUGACGCUGAGACGCGAAAGCGUGGGGAGCAAACAGG
Molecule: ribosomal RNA, 253 nt
Filed under: uncultured bacterium
Lineage: Bacteria
Description: partial 16S ribosomal RNA
Rfam family: Bacterial small subunit ribosomal RNA
Source: RNAcentral